RNAcentral lists this long non-coding RNA (221 nucleotides) under Elaeis guineensis (African oil palm). RNAcentral's name for it is "long non-coding RNA (EGUI_LNC006507)". The record is from RNAcentral. Lineage: Eukaryota; Viridiplantae; Streptophyta; Magnoliopsida; Arecales; Arecaceae.
UGCUCACCGAAAAUUGGAGCCGACGACGCUGCUAAAGCUUAAGGUAAGCCCUUCUCCUUUUUCUCUCCCUCUUUCCAUUCUUUCUAUGCUACUGCGCAUGGCCGCCGACCAUCGGGUUCAUUGAAAAACCCACAAAAAGGGAGGCCCUGUUUUUCCCUUAUUCGGUCGAGCCAUUUUCUUCUCUUUUUCGGCCACCAGUGCCGCCGCCCAUGGUGCCGCAC